Molecule: ribosomal RNA, 301 nt
Filed under: uncultured bacterium
Lineage: Bacteria
Description: partial 16S ribosomal RNA
Rfam family: Bacterial small subunit ribosomal RNA
Source: RNAcentral
CAGUAGCCACGGUAAUACAGAGGGUGCAAGCGUUAAUCGGAAUUACUGGGCGUAAAGCGCGCGUAGGUGGUUUGUUAAGUUGGAUGUGAAAGCCCCGGGCUCAACCUGGGAACUGCAUCCAAAACUGGCAAGCUAGAGUACGGUAGAGGGUGGUGGAAUUUCCUGUGUAGCGGUGAAAUGCGUAGAUAUAGGAAGGAACACCAGUGGCGAAGGCGACCACCUGGACUGAUACUGACACUGAGGUGCGAAAGCGUGGGGAGCAAACAGGAUUAGAUACCCGGGUAGUCCCUGUCUCUUAUAA